CGUAGGAGUUAUCUUGCUAUGGGUUCGUGGACCCGAGGGAGUUGACUCCUCGUGGGAGUUGCCUCGCAACGGGUUAUAUGACUGAGCAAGUUAUCUCCUCGUGGGAGUUGUCUUGCUGCCGGUUGUAGUACCGAGCGAGUGGAAUCCUCGUAGGAGUUAUCUCGCUAUGGGUUCGUGGACCCGAGGGAGUUGACUCCUCGUGGGAGUUGCCUCGCAACGGGUUAUAUGACUAAGCAAGUUAUCUCCUCGUGGGAGUUG
RNAcentral lists this long non-coding RNA (258 nucleotides) under Erythranthe guttata (spotted monkey flower). Its description in RNAcentral is "long non-coding RNA (EGUT_LNC001557)". Lineage: Eukaryota; Viridiplantae; Streptophyta; Magnoliopsida; Lamiales; Phrymaceae. The record is from RNAcentral.